Molecule: long non-coding RNA, 6233 nt
Organism: Aethalodelphis obliquidens (Pacific white-sided dolphin)
Lineage: Eukaryota; Metazoa; Chordata; Mammalia; Artiodactyla; Delphinidae
Exons: 6
Source: RefSeq, a predicted model, not a curated record
GAUGGCACAGGUUCCUUGCUGCAACCAGAUAUAUGUUUGCAUCUUUGAAAGUUCGCAAUUUGCAGGUUUGUAUGUAGGGGACUUACUGUAAAUAUGUUCAAACUGCUAACUACUGUCCGCCCUCUCGGAUCACAGCCUCUAACUACCCUGAUGCUCAAGCUGGAGAGCGAGCCCUUCCGCAUAGCUCUCCUCCUCCCCUCAGAUCCAGCCUGAGUCCCUAAGGGCUGUCUCAGCCCCCAUUCUCCCUCUCCUGAGCCUGGCAGUAGCUUCCCAUUUGGCUCCCUCCUCCUCCCUGGCCCACUAGGCAGCCUCUGCCUCCCCUCAGAAAUUAGCAGAGUGACAGGUUUUACUUUUACCUUUGUGUGCCCCAGGGUUCUUAUCUUAAAGCGAAACAAUAAGUACCUCCAACCCCACCCUGGUUUCACAGCUUUGUAGAGGGUGCAAUGAACUCAUAAUGAAAGCACUUAGAAUUGUGCCAAGCACAUCGUAAACACUCAAGAAAUGUCAAUUAUUAUAAAUAUCACUUGUUGCACGAAUUUGCUGUCCUUUCAAACAAAGGAUGCACACAUCUUUAUAAGUGCUGAAUUUGUAUAAUGCUUGCUUUGAAAUACCAAACCUUUGUAUGGGGAGGAGUGUUUUAAACUGGUCGUAUUUAGGUCCUGUUUGCCUAACGAGCCCUUUACCAUUUGUAAGUAUGGAAAUUUUACCCUAAGCCAGUUAUAUGGGCCGGUGUCCCCAUGUGGACACUAGAUGGCGCUGCAGCAUAGAGUGGCUGUUGGGACCUGGAAAAAGCCGGCAGUGCCACCUGACCUUCUCCUCUCCAAUUUAACCUUUAGCCUGGGGUGGCGGUACCGUGGCUUAGAAUCGAAUCCUAUGAUGGCAGAGUGUAUUAAUGUCUCUCUGGUGACCGCUCCACUGUGGACACUCAGACCCUGCACAUCACACAUCCCUCACAGCAGCCUGGACGUGAGGCAGGCCAAGGAUGGCUUCUCGGGUUUCCGGAUGAGGAAGCAGGCCCAGAGCAGCACAGAGUCACCCGGCGACACGUGGAGCACAGACCCUGCACGCGGCCGGGUCCCCAAGGUUCAAACGUGCUGGUGGAGCUGGGGAAGCGGCGCCGCCGGGCCUCCGGUGCCCGGGCCACGCACCCACGCCUCCCAGGGGCUGGACUGACCCCCUCACCCACCCGGGAAACAGACGGUCCGGCAGCACACGCAGGAAGCACGAGCCAGAAGGGAGCGCCCGAUUUUCUCUUUUCCAGAAAUGUAUUUUCAGUUUUUAAAUAAAAGGCUUUGCUUCUACAAUAAUAGUGAACGCACAUUGUAAGAAAUUCAAGGGACUUCCCUGGUGGUCCAGUGGUUAAGACUCCCAAUGCAGGGGUCCCGGGUUCGAUCCCUGGUGGGGGAACUAGAUCCCACAUGCUGCAACUAAAAGAGCCCUGCAACUAAAAGAGACCACAUGCAGCAAUUAAAAGAUCCCGCGUGCUGCAACUAAGACCCAGCAGCAGCCAAAUAAAUAAAAAGAAAGAACUUCCAGUAACACUGAAGAGCACAAAAAAGAAAAUUUUCAAGUGCUCUGGAAGGCCAGCACCCCCAGAAGCAUCGAGGGAGACAUCUGUCUAUGCACCUAUUCAGAGAAAAGGACAGGUAGAUUGAUGGAAAUUUUUACCAAAAAGUGUUCACACGGUACGUGCUCUUUUUGGGAAAAGUGUUUAACAGAAAGGAAAAAAAAAAAAAAAAGAAGAAGCCUAAAUGUAACUAAAGAAAUUGCCAAGCUGCAAAUAAUUAAAAGGAAAGAAAAAUACCCAGGGACUGAAUUCAUUCUUGAAAUAUGCUUCAACUGUAGAUGGCAUCUCUUGACAGCCUGUGGAUUUAGGAUGAGGAAAUGAGCUCACCCACUUCCUAUCUCUUCCCCCCUCCCAAAUGUUGUGAGUUCUUAUUUUUACAUUGUCAAGGUUUGUAACUACCUGCAUCCUGUCCUGUAACCAUCCUUCCCACCAUUGUUUGGCCCCUGCUCUGUGCGUGCGCGGGUCCCCUGCUCACUGCCAGUCCUUUUAGAGUGGGUUUCCCAGCCCUCCAUUCUUGAGUUCUUGACUUUGAUUCACCUCAUGUUUGACUUGACUUGUCCCCAAGAAGUCUGUUCAGGGAGGGCUUUGGUGGUCACAGCCAAGAGGGGUGGCUGCUAGGAGCAAGGUUGGAGGCCUCAAUUCUGAAAAGGGGGUGGGCGGGCUAUAAAAUCGGCUGAUUUAUGCCCAGUGAAACUGGCAUAAAUCCCCAAUGUAGGAACAAGCACUAAUACUUUCCAGUGUGACUCCUUGCUGGACAGAGUCUUCAACUUGUAUUUGGUUGCACAUAGUUGAAGUCUUAGAAUUUGGAAAUAAAGAAAAUGACUAGGGUGGGGAACCCAGAGAGUAUUGUUUUCUUUUUUUGGGCCGCACCAUGCAGCAUGUAGGAUCUUAGUUCCCCAACCAGGGAUCCAACCCAUGCCCCCUGCAUUGGGAGCACAGAGUCUCAACCACUGGACCACCGGGGAAGUGCCUUGUUUUCAAAGAAAGGACAUGCCAGAUUUCUGGCUCAGGGGGCCUCUGUGACCAGGCCACCACCACUACCCUAACAGCACCCGCCCCCAACACACACACACACACACACACACACACACACACACACACACACUUCAUACCUUUGACAGCAGUGCCUAAUCCCAUAUUCACCUGGAAAAACCCAACUUCUCCUUCAAGACCAAGGUCAAAUGACACCUCCUCUGUGAAGCCUUUUGUAUGUUCUGGAUUAUUGCUUGGCAAAUAUUUACUUCUCUGCCUUCCCACUUUGGCAGUGGUAUACCUCCAGGCCCCUUUGCUCCUGGGCUCUGCUAUGUGACUUGCUUUGGCCAAUGAGAUAUUUGGAGACAAAACGUGGAGUACAGCCUUGGCAUGAGCUGGUGGAAGAGCCCACCCACUCGUGUUUCUGCCAUUGCCACAAGCACACCUUUCCCUGCAUGGCCUAGUGGUUCCAGGAGAAUGAGAGGCAGGGUAGACCUCCAUGUAAUCCAUGCCCAGGAGCCAGUCUAACCAGGCCCAGCUGAAAUUGUCAGGGCUGCCCCAGUCAGUGUGCAGACACAUGAGCCAGAAAUAAAUGCUUGUAACAGUAAGUUAUUGAAUUAUGGGGUCAUUUGUUAUGCAGCAUUGUUGUGACAAUAGUUGACUGAUACACGUUCUCUGUUCAUUUCCUCUUUUGUGCUUGAGAUGCACUUUGUGCCCACAGCUUUACUUAUUAACUGUAGGGCUGAUUUUGUAGCAGAGUCUGCCCUCCCUCUGGCCUGUGAACAGUUUGAAGAAAGGACUGCCUCUCAUUCAAUUCUGACUCCCCAGUACCCAGCUAGAUGGCACCCAAUAUCAUUCUUUCCAUCAGCACUCUGUCCAGGAUAGCCAAGUCCAAGUGGAGAGCCCAGGCCUCUGCUUCCAGGACUCACCUGCAAGUAUGGACAAGAAGGUUCCAAAGCCCUAAUCUUCGGUACCCACUGCUGGGGAAAACACUCAGGGCAUAGCUGCUCUUACCUGGGAGCACCAGGGACCACAGUGGCUGCUUUCCUAGCCAGGUAGUGUAUGAAAACAGGGAGAAGACCCUGGUAAGUAGAUGUAGGAGGGUGGGAGAAAACUAAGCUCUUUGUCCAAAUAGAAACAAAGAGCCUUGGGGUAUGGAAAUCCUGGAAGCCUUCCUUACAAAGUGCCCGAGUAUCCAGGGGCAGUGAAGGCCAUGUCACUAAUAUAAUACAGACCCACCCUGGGAGAAUGAGUACUGAGAGCCAGGGUUCUGGCACAAGGAGAGCAGCUGUGGACUGGGUUUUCCAAACUCUGCCCAUCAGCAUCUUGCGAUGCUAAUCCUGGUUCCACCUACCCUACUUUCCUUAAAAUUGGUCAUCCAAACCAGAACACAUUGGUGAGUGAAAGGAGACACUGUUAAUAAUUGUGCCAGGACAACCAGCAUAAGCAGGGACAUAUGGUCAGCCUGUGUAUCGGACCAAGACCUAGACGCAGUACUGCUCAGGGGCCAAGGGUGUAGGCUCCAGAGUUAAGAGACCUGGGUUCAAAUGUGCCUCUUUGUGGCUCUGAAGCCAGGGCAAGCGAGUGGCCUCUGUGUGAUUCAGUUUCCUGAUUUAUAAAAUAGAGAUAAUGGGGUUGUGCCUGCUCCUGGUAAGCGCUUCCUAAAUGUUAGCUAUCCUUUUAACUGUUACUCUUUUCACUAAAUGGGUCCUUUAUUGCUAGAUCUCAGAAACACAACAAAAGAAUUUCUUGAGAAGAACAAGCCCACAUUCUGAAAGGAGCCCUGAAUAGUUUUCGCCACGCACAGGGCUCCUGUGGUACCUCCACCCUCCUCUCUAGGGAGCUGGUGUGACUGACACUGACCAGUCUGGCCAGGGCACCUGCAGCCAAACUUGGAUCUUCUGGACGCACCAGCUUUCCUGAUUCAGGAGCCUCAGGACUAACCUCAGAUGAUGCUUAUUCCUCACCUGCUCAAAACCUGGCCUUAGGAGCAUAGCUCAGAAUCUGAGUCCGUAUAAUCCAGCCCCCGCUAAUGGGAAGAGAUGAAGACAUGGAUUCCCUUCACACAGCCCCUCUCCCACCUGGCUGGGGAGGCUGACGUGCGGGAUGACAAAGGCAGAGCCCUACAUGGAUCAACCGUUCCUGGCUCUCUGAAGUUGCAGAACAAUCUUGGACACCUCACCCAACCAGUGCACAGUAAGAAAAGUUGCAAAGACUGCCCCUGUGUCCUGCUUGCCGUCUGCUGUACACGGUGGGGUGUCACUCCAGGACGUUGCUUCGGACAUGAUAAAACAACACAUUGUGGGAAGCAGUCUGACCUGCAAAGACUCAUCGGCGUGAAAGUGAGGAGCAGACAUUACAUCAUAGGCAGCACCACACUGAAGCCACAUGUCGGUUUUUGCUCACUCUGCUGAGAUGGUACAGCUUCUGAUUGAACUGACUCAAGUCCUGAAGAUUACUCAAACUCUUGUGUUCCCACCAGGCCUCUUUUUAGUGUCAGCCUUAUAUAAGAGCUUUCAUUUUACUGUCACCAAGAGAAAGUCCCAUUCAAUUCAUACCAGAUGCUGAGUCGUCGUGAAUCAAUACAACAGCAUCCAAAAACCACCAAAAUGAAUCAUAAGGACAAACAGGACUUUUCCCCCAGCAAAACAGUGACUAAAAUAGUGUUUUGCCCUUUUAGAAAAAAAAAAGUUACAAGGUUAAUAAGACACGGCUUCAGGCCCUGCUUGUGUAACACACGUGUCUGUGGGCGUGAAGUGGUUAAAUUGCGUGUCCUCAGCAAGACAGUGUAUGAGGCCUGCAGCUGAGCCAGACAGAGGCUGGCGAGAGGAGGUGAGACUUGGACAUCAGGGGCCCUAGACUGGGAGUCCAGUGAUGACCUGAAACUGUUAGGCAAUCCUCCUCCAUGUGAGUGGCAAGGAUAUCUGAGACUCAGAGUUUAGGAAUCUCUACCGUGGAGGAGAGGCUCUUGGGAACUGUGGAGGCUCUUCCAGGAAAUGAGCAUCCAGAAUCUUCUCCCGAUAGAGCCGGGGAGAUCCCCAAGACUUGUUUCUCAGUCCUGCCUCUGCUCCCUGGAUGCUGGGAAUAGCACUCCGAUUACCUAUGGAAGUGAGAAAUGGUAUAUGUCCUCCCUGGGGUGGGAGGGGGUGGGCCCACCUAGGCACUCUCUCCUGGCCUCUGACCCUUGAAUGGAGGGAAGCAAAAGCAGAGAAGAGAUGGCGGCUGACACAUCCCCGUAGUGGCUGGAUGAGUCUCUCAGUUGGUUCCUGCUUCUGGGUCCCCAAGGCCUCCCAGGUUCCUGUCCUUUGCAGACUAGGUUCUUCCAGUUUCCCCUUUAUUGUGUGAGGGACUCCCUAUCCUUCCAAUGGGUUUCCUUUGCGACAAGGUCAGUGUCUGUUUUCCCACCGCAGCACCAAGUCAUUGCUGUCAGAGGCACUGAGAGCUGUGUGUCCCAUUCCAUACCCCACAGACUACUGCAGGAGCCCGGGAACAUGGGCUGCAGAGCCCUGCUCGUUGAUAUUCACAAGGUAGGAGUCAGAAGGUCUCCCCUCAGUAAAGGCAAAAUGGGAGCAAUGGAGGCCGAGAGCUCCCCGCAGUUACUGUGUCAACACUGAUCAAGGAACUGAAUCAUCAUAUGAUAUCACUUACAUAACCCGUGCUCUGCAACAGGAGAAGCCACCGCAAUGAGAAGCCC